Molecule: ribosomal RNA, 159 nt
Filed under: Linochilus rhododendroides
Lineage: Eukaryota; Viridiplantae; Streptophyta; Magnoliopsida; Asterales; Asteraceae
Description: Piofontia rhododendroides 5.8S ribosomal RNA
Rfam family: 5.8S ribosomal RNA
About the family: 5.8S ribosomal RNA (5.8S rRNA) is a component of the large subunit of the eukaryotic ribosome.
Source: RNAcentral
GACUCUCGGCAACGGAUAUCUCGGCUCACGCAUCGAUGAAGAACGUAGCAAAAUGCGAUACUUGGUGUGAAUUGCAGAAUCCCGUGAACCAUYGAGUUUUUGAACGCAAGUUGCGCCCGAAGCCAUUCGGCCGAGGGCACGUCUGCCUGGRCGUCACGC